AUGCGUAGUAGAAAAUGGCCUGGUAAUCCUUGUUGUUCUUUCUGCAAGGAGGUGGAGAGCUCUCAACACCUGUUUUUCACCUGCCCUGUUGCGAAAUGUGUGUGGAGGUCUGUUGGGGUCGUGCUGGGUACUGAUAAAUGUCCCAGCAGCUAUUGGCAAUACUAUGCGUGGUGUCACUCUUAUCUUCCUGGGGGAGAAAAUUUUUAUACUGUGGGCCUUGCAGCUGCCUGCUGGGCUAUAUGGUUGGCUCGAAAUCGUGCCACUUUUGAGAAGAAAAUGAUCAAAACCCCUUUUGAGAUUGUUUUUUCCAUGUGUUCUUUCUUGCUGUAUUGGACAGGUCUGCAACAGGGAGAUGAUGCUACUAAACUACGGGCAGGCGCAGAGCAACUCAGGGCGGGUACCAUGCAGAUGAUGAAGCUCUGCGAGGCUGCCAGGCAACCAAUUACCGGCGAAUGA
This 456-nucleotide ribosomal RNA is filed under the name Triticum aestivum (bread wheat). RNAcentral's name for it is "partial small subunit ribosomal RNA". Lineage: Eukaryota; Viridiplantae; Streptophyta; Magnoliopsida; Poales; Poaceae. The record is from RNAcentral.